GAGUGCAAAUGGUAUUGCUAGUUGAGAUAACUAUGGAUACAAUACAAUAGUAGUAUUAAUUAAUAUAUAAUUAUACAUUAUUAAACCAAAUUAUCUAAGCCAUAACAGAAGAAAAGAAGAGGGAUUAUUGGGUUAUAUAAUAUGACCCACUUAACAUACAUUCAUGUAAUGAUCAAAAACAAGAAUGGGUAUGAUUGGGAGACCAAGACAGUGAAGAAGGUGAAGUAGGUGGAGAACGGUAGGAAGAGCAAGAAGAAGAAUUUGAAGACAAUGGAUUCCUAAUCAUCAAAGGCACUACAUCUUCAAGCAGACCCUGAGGCUCGCAAUACUCAUCCACUGAGCCAGUGGUCGGACUUGCUCGUGAUGGGCAUUCUUCUGCUGUUUCAGCUGUCUUCUUGGGCUUCUUGAAGGGUUGUGGAUUCACAAGAAUAGGUUGGUCCAGUAAGAAAUAUGGGUGAGCAAAGUGUAAAUGGAGCCCCUCAUAGGUGACUAUGAGUGUGUCCUCGUCUUCUCUGGAUCUUUCCACCUGCUUUUUUGCACUGCACCUUGGGUUUGUGCACUUGUAGUAGCUUCUAGGAUAUGGGCUGUUCUUGAUAGAUUUUUGGCCGUACUUUCUCCAUUUAUAACCAUCAUCAGCCAUUCCAUUGCCACAGGUUUUGAAUUUAAGAGUAUAUUUGUUAUUCUCAAUCUUACUAAAACCCCUUUCCAAAAUCGAAAUUCUGCAGGCCUGUGAAAGUGCUUGGAAUUGGUCCAUCUGAGUGCUGCUGCUAGUGAUGGAUAAAGCAUGAUCAAUAUCUUGGAUUGUUGGCCCAGAAUAGACAGUGGAAAUGAGUCGAGUAACAGUUUGUUCAUUGGAAUAAUUAGGAGUUGGUUUGGAUUCAACAGCUUCAUUUGGCAACAGGAGGAAAGGGGAUUCAUCAUCAAGAAGCUCGCUCACAAUAAGCUCAUCUUCAGACCCAUCAAGCCAAUUAUUUCCCUUUACUUGUUCCAUCAUUCUUGCCAACUCAAUUAUUUAGCUCUGAAUUGCAGAAGAAGAAUAUGUCUACCCCUACCUCCCACACAGGCCAAAAGAAAGUGAUAAGGAGGAGAGUAAGAGAAAGGUUUAUGAAUUGGGUAUGAGAGUGGAGUAGAUGAAGAGGAUCGAAGUUGCCAAGUC
Molecule: unclassified non-coding RNA, 1156 nt
Filed under: Hevea brasiliensis (rubber tree)
Lineage: Eukaryota; Viridiplantae; Streptophyta; Magnoliopsida; Malpighiales; Euphorbiaceae
Source: RNAcentral